UAAGACGUAGGGUCCAAGCGUUGUCCGGAUUUACUGGGCGUAAAGAGCGCGUAGGCGGUCUGUUAAGUGUGAAGUGAAAUCUCCAGGGCUCAACCCGGAAACUGCUUCGCAUACUGGCAGACUUGAGGAAUGCAGAGGUUUGUGGAAUUCCUGGUGUAGCGGUGAAAUGCGUUGAUAUCAGGAGGAACACCCAUGGCGAAGGCAGCAAACUGGGCAUUAUCUGACGCUGAGGCGCGAAAGCGUGGGUAGCAAACAGGAUUAGAUACCCUGGUAGUCCACGCCCUAAACGAUGGAUACUAGGCGUAAGAGGUAUCGACCCCUCUUGUGCCGCAGCUAACGCAUUAAGUAUCCCGCCUGGGGAGUACGGCCGCAAGGUUGAAACUCAAAUGAAUUGACGG
RNAcentral lists this ribosomal RNA (398 nucleotides) under uncultured bacterium. RNAcentral's name for it is "bacterial SSU rRNA". It matches the Rfam family "Bacterial small subunit ribosomal RNA", at positions 521 to 916 of the family's 1533-position model. The record is from RNAcentral.